AGGGUGCAGGGCGGAUGCCUUGGCACUAGGAGCCGAUGAAGGACGUGAUAAGCUGCGAUAAGCUUCGGGGAGUUGCACGUAAACUUUGAUCCGAAGAUUUCCGAAUGAGGAAACUCACUUAGAGUAAUGUCUAAGUAUCAUUAAGUGAAUACAUAGCUUAAUGAGGGGAACUCAGGGAACUGAAACAUCUAAGUACCUGAAGGAAGAGAAAGAAAUUCGAUUCCGUAAGUAGCGGCGAGCGAACGCGGAUUAGCCCAAACCAAUAAAGUUUUCUUUAUUGGGGUUGCGGACAUAUCAUAACGAAGAGGUAUCGUAAUUGAAGAGGUUUGGAAAGACCCACCACAGAAGGUAAUAGUCCUGUAUGUUAAACGAGAAGACUUUAGAUAUGAUCCAGAGUACCACGGGACACGUGAAACCCUGUGGGAAGCAGGAGGGACCACCCUCCAAGGCUAAAUACUACCUAGUGACCGAUAGCGUAUAGUACCGUGAGGGAAAGGUGAAAAGAACCCCGGGAGGGGAGUGAAAUAGAACCUGAAACCCUGCACUUACAAGCUGUGGAAGCACAUUUCUUGUGUGACCGCGUACUUUUUGUAGAACGGGCCAACGAGUUACGUUAAGUAGCAAGGUUAAGCACUUAAGGUGCGGAGCCGUAGCGAAAGCGAGUUUUAACUGAGCGUUCAGUUACUUGACGUAGACCCGAAACCGGGCGACCUACCCAUGAGCAGGAUGAAGCGAAAGUAAAAUUUCGUGGAGGUCCGAACCCACGAGCGUUGAAAAGCUCGGGGAUGACUUGUGGGUAGCGGUGAAAUUCCAAUCGAGCCCGGAGAUAGCUGGUUCUCCCCGAAAUAGCUUUAGGGCUAGCCUCAAGGUGAGAGAUACGGAGGUAGAGCACUGAAUGUCCUAGGGGGUAUUGCACCUACCGAAGACUAUCAAACUCCGAAUGCCGUCAUCUUAUACUUGGGAGUCAGACUGUGGGUGAUAAGAUUCAUAGUCGAAAGGGCAACAGCCCAGAUCGUCAGCUAAGGUCCCUAAAUGUAAGUUAAGUGGUAAAGGAUGUGGGAUUGCACAGACAACCAGGAUGUUGGCUUAGAAGCAGCCACUCAUUCAAAGAGUGCGUAAUAGCUCACUGGUCGAGUGAUCCUGCGCCGAAGAUUUCCGGGGCUAAAACUUACUACCGAAGCUACGGCAUCAGUAAUGAUGGGUAGGGGAGCUUCCCAUACGGGUUGAAGCAUGACCGUAAGGACAUGUGGACAGUAUGGGAGUGAGAAUGUUGGCAUGAGUAGCGAGAUGUGGGUGAGAAUCCCACAGGCCGUAAACCCAAGGUUUCCAGGGGAAGGUUCGUCCGCCCUGGGUUAGUCGGGACCUAAGCUGAGGCCGAAAGGCGUAGGUGAUGGACAACAGGUUGAUAUUCCUGUACUACCGAUAACCGUUUGAGAGAAGGGAUGACACAGUAGGAUAAGCUAAGCACACUGUUGGUUAUGUGUGCCCAAGCAUUGAGGCAGUCAAAGUAGGCAAAUCCGCUUUGAUAAUGCUGGGAUGUGAUGGGGAGCGAAAUUUAGUAGCGAAGUAGCUGAUUUCACACUGUCAAGAAAAGUCUCUAUCGAGGUUAAAGGUACCCGUACCGCAAACCGACACAGGUGGGUGAGGAGAGUAUCCUAAGGCCAGCGAGAGAACUGUUGUUAAGGAACUCGGCAAAAUGACCCCGUAACUUAGGGAUAAGGGGUGCCACCAUCAGGUGGCCGCAGAGAAUAGGCCCAAGCGACUGUUUACCAAAAACAUAGGUUUCUGCUAAGUCGCAAGACGAUGUAUAGGAGCUGACGCCUGCCCGGUGCUGGAAGGUUAAGGGGAUCUGUUAGAGCAAUCGAAGCAGUGAACUUAAGCCCCAGUAAACGGCGGCCGUAACUAUAACGGUCCUAAGGUAGCGAAAUUCCUUGUCGGGUAAGUUCCGACCCGCACGAAAGGCGUAACGAUUUGGGCACUGUCUCAACAACAGACUCGGUGAAAUUGUAAUUCCGGUGAAGAUGCCGGAUACCUGCGACAGGACGGAAAGACCCCAUGGAGCUUUACUGUAGCUUGACAUUGGGUCUUGGUACUACAUGUACAGGAUAGGUGGGAGGCUUUGAAACCAGGACGCCAGUUUUGGCGGAGCCAUCCUUGGGAUACCACCCUUGUAGUACUGGGACUCUAACCAUAGGCCAUGAAUCUGGUCUUGGGACACUGUCAGGUGGGCAGUUUGACUGGGGCGGUCGCCUCCCAAAAGGUAACGGAGGCGCUCAAAGGUUCUCUCAGUACGGUCGGAAAUCGUACGUAGAGUGUAAAGGCAAAAGAGAGCUUGAUUGCAAGACAUACAGGUCGAGCAAGGAUGAAAAUCGGACUUAGUGAUCCGGUGGUUCUGCGUGGAAGGGCCAUCGCUCAACGGAUAAAAGCUACCCUGGGGAUAACAGGCUUAUCU
This 2452-nucleotide ribosomal RNA is filed under the name human gut metagenome. RNAcentral's name for it is "bacterial LSU rRNA". It matches the Rfam family "Bacterial large subunit ribosomal RNA", at positions 14 to 2488 of the family's 2925-position model. The record is from RNAcentral.